AUGGGGAUGGAGCCUCGGGGCAGAGCGCAGGUGGCGCACCCUUGGGGAAAAGUUAAAGUCAGUGCCUAUGUGGGAAAGGAGCCUGAGCAGAGGAAUAGAGACAUACCUAAUAUGUCAAACCACCCCUGAACCCUACCUCCACUGUUCAACUCCACAGCGGGCUGGGAUCCCCCCUGAACAUACCAACAAUGAGAAAAAGUCAAGGUGAGCCAGACUGGUCUCCAGCUAUGUAUUUGUCAGUCUUCACGUGAGUCCUACGGGCAUUUGCAUGAGCUAGCAACUGGUCUGCCAGUGUCACGAAGGACUCUUGUAAUUCACUCCACAUGUUUGCUGUGUGUCAGCUUGGAGCUAGCUUAAUUUAAUAUCCAAAAGAGAAGCUGCUCAAAGGACAAACCCAAGUCUGCAAUGCCACAUGGAAUUGAUUCCCUACUAAAUUACUCAUCUCUGAAAACCAGGGACCAUAAAGACACCUUUCAUGUGUGGAUAGUGUCAUGAACACAGAUCUCUGCCACAACUGAGCUCAGAGUGGAAUCAUAAAAUGGAUUUAAAUCAUUCGGAAACAAACUCUGUCCUGCAGAAUUUUCUCGAGAUGUACGUGGAAGAGAGGAAAAAUGUUAGGCUCAAUAAUUUCACCAGCCCGGCCUUGAAGGAGCAAGAGGAGAUAACGGCCUCUUUUUACAUCCUUAUCAUCGUUGGAUUUUUUGGCUUCCUCCUUUUCUCCCUGAUGAUCAGCAAUAUUGUUUCCAACAAGCCUGAAAACUACAUUGACUAUCUCUAUUCUGGGAAGUUUAACAGCCAGGGAAAUGAAAGAGGACUUCAGAGAAAAGAAAGCAAAGACACGUCGGUAACGAUUAGCGACGAAGUGAUGGUGGACCCUAGCAAAACUAGGGAACGGCAAAAAACUGACAGUAAUAACAAUGAGCCUGAGACACCAAGCCAAGAAACAGCUCUGAGAAACGUAUGAAAGAGCAUUGAUGGGCCUUCUUUAAAGAAGGAACAGGAAUCAAAAGAUGAUUUUAUUGUUCACAAAAGUGAGAUACUGGUAGCACUGUCUAGUGUCAGGACAUAGCACAGCUCGGUAUGGUGCAAGCUUCCCACAUGCAGCUGUGAAAGCACCUCCUCAAUCCUGAAGUGCAACAUAAUGCCCUUGUGAUGCCAGUGCUGGGCCUGUGCAGAAGUGACUGGAAAUCAAGUCCAAACUUGUGUGACUCUUUUAUAUUCUCUUUUCUAAUGUGUUUUUAUAAUGCGUCUCUCAAAAGAAUGAAACGCCUCCCUCCUUAUGCUCCUGUCUUGCCACUGCAUGCGCUGGUGGCUUUUCUAGCCGUGUUGGCAUUAUUAUUAUUGUUCGUUAUUUAUUUAUUUGGUUAGCACCAACCACCUCUUCAUGGCUGUAUGCUAUACAAAAAUAAAGACCGUCAACAGUCUCUGGCAAAUGAUGCUGUGGUCUAAGGCAGGACUGCUAUGGAUCCACAGGGUCUGGUCUGUGCCUCCACCUGUAACCAGUGUCUUGGGAGUGAGCCCUUUAAUGUGCCAGGCCCAGGGCCCUACACAGUUCCACUAGGGCAGGCCUAUCAUCCCCAAGGCUCUGAGACUAGUCCUUAAGCAACAGCGAUCCCUGACUCUCUCUCUGGGUGACUCCCUGCAACAAAUCCAGACAAACCAGACUCCUGUGGGAGGCUUGUACUGUACCCCUUCAGGGUGCAAUGCUCUCAGGGAGUAUUUGCAGUGACACCAGGGAGCCUUCUCAAAAUAAGGUAGCAGGUUAUUAGUCACCUGGCAUACAGCAUCUGAAAGUCCUUAGGUGAGCAAAGAGACGCAGAGAUUAAGCCAUAGUCCAUUCUGGCCAAGCCAGUGCCAUGAGCCAGACAAGCUGUAAUAGAAUCCAUCUCCAGCUGCC
Molecule: long non-coding RNA, 1897 nt
Organism: Chelonia mydas (Green sea turtle)
Lineage: Eukaryota; Metazoa; Chordata; Testudines; Cheloniidae
Exons: 5
Source: RefSeq, a predicted model, not a curated record